GAAAAUCUGCAGGGGAAACAAGUAAAUCAGAACAAAGCUGAAAUGCCUGAACCAAAUAGGAAAUGGAGAUUUCACUGAAGAAAUGCACACUCGAACUCAACUGGUGAAGAAAAGAUCUUCGACGCAGAAGUAACAAAAGUAUAUUAUCCACUAUCGGUCACUAGGCAAGGAGAUAACAUAAUCUGACAGAGGGGACAUCCGUUACCGGUUAGGGUAAAC
RNAcentral lists this long non-coding RNA (219 nucleotides) under Lathyrus oleraceus (garden pea). Its description in RNAcentral is "Pisum sativum (pea) long non-coding RNA (PSAT_LNC006526)". Lineage: Eukaryota; Viridiplantae; Streptophyta; Magnoliopsida; Fabales; Fabaceae. The record is from RNAcentral.